GAACGAAAAAUUCCCCAAUUGGUCGUAUCUAUUCGAUCGAAAUGGAAAAUGGAGGCGGAGAUUUGGAGGCGAAAAUUGAGAUGUUGCUGAAUGUGGAGAAGCAGAUGAGGCAAGUGGGUGAUGUUGCAGGUACGAGGAAGGCCGUCACACCUCUUGCAAUUCUUCUUCUCACACCUCAAACAAUACCCCUCAUUUUCUCCCUCCAAGAAAGCCAAAGCCGGCGAAGGAGAGACGCCGCAGUUCCGUCCUCCCACCACCAAAAUACCCUCACCCAACCCCACCAUCAAACCAUUUCCCUUCUCCUCUGUUCACUUCUUCGAGGAAAAAAGUUAAAGAAAGCAGGUGAAGUUCAUGGUGGUAUGGCCGACCCAAAGGUUCGAAUGUGAUGGUACGGCAGCACCCGCGGGAGAAGCAGCUGCGGAUGUGGGUACAAAUCCAAGGAAGGAAAACCCCGCUGAAUAGAGUAAAGAAAACCAAGAAAAGCAGGGGGGAGAGACAGAGCGAGGAGGAGGCCUCAAAUUAUGGUUUGGGAUUACACUGGUUUUGGAUAUACAAGGUACAAUGCCAGAGACAUUAACAAAGAAAUACUAGGGUAAGCACAAUUCUGCAGCUGUCUCCUUCCGUGAUGAAACCUGUAAUGUUCACAGAUAAUCUUGUUUGUGGUUUUCAUUUAGGUGUGUUGUGGAGAAUAAAGUGCUUCAUAGAUCUUUAUUAUCAUGCUUACAGGUACUUAAAUGUUGGAAAAUGUUUGUUUUUUACAUAUAUAAGAAAGCUAAUAAUUACAAUGUCAUGCAUGGUUAUGCCUCUAUUGGUAACAGCAAGGAAUAAUAUUUGAGAGAAUGAAGAGAAGAAAUGAAAAGGCAAAAAAGAAAAACAAAAAUGAAGA
Sesamum indicum (sesame) is the source of this 886-nucleotide non-coding RNA. NCBI's taxonomy places the organism in Eukaryota, Viridiplantae, Streptophyta, Magnoliopsida, Lamiales, Pedaliaceae. The record is from RefSeq and is a predicted model, not a curated record.